UACGAGGGGGGCGAGCGUUGUUCGGAAUUAUUGGGCGUAAAGGGUGCGUAGGCGGUUUGGUAAGUCUUAUGUGAAAUCUAUGGGCUCAACUCAUAGUCUGCAUAAGAAACUGCCGGGCUUGGGUAUGGGAGAGGUGAGUGGAAUUCCUGGUGUAGCGGUGAAAUGCGUAGAUAUCAGGAGGAACACCUGUGGCGAAAGCGGCUCACUGGACCAUAACUGACGCUGAUGCACGAAAGCUAGGGGAGCAAACAGG
This 253-nucleotide ribosomal RNA is filed under the name uncultured bacterium. RNAcentral's name for it is "partial 16S ribosomal RNA". It matches the Rfam family "Bacterial small subunit ribosomal RNA", at positions 524 to 776 of the family's 1533-position model. The record is from RNAcentral.